CACAGCAGGUCUGAGGGUGGGUUGGCUACCUGAAGCACUCAAAAGAGGUGAGAGGCUUGUGCUUAGUGUAAAAGGCUGUGUAGGUGGCUGAGACAGUGCUCCCGUGAAGGGUGUCUGAAGCUGGGCACCUACCACACUAUGAGCUGGUUGGCUUGGAAUGAGCUCAUGAACAUGAGGAGAAGAGGGCUGCACAGCACUGUCAGAACUAGCUGCCAUGUCAGGAGUGGUCACGUUGGUGAGAAGAGGAGUGAUGCCACUGAUAGCCGGGGUCAUAACAGGCCCUGCCGUGCUAAGAGAAGCAUGAGUUUGUGUGAACGCACUGGAGUAACAAGGUGCCAAUGGAACACCAUAGGAAACUUGAGCAGGAGUGGAGCGGCUAUGAGGUGGAAGAAUAGUAGCUCCCGUGCGUGGAUAAGGCCUCGGGAGAGCAACAAGGCUGGCGCGCUUCAGCCGUUCAAUUUCUGCUUUCCAUUUUUCAUCACGCCUUUGCACUAUUAACAGAAUCUCUGAAGUCAGUCUCCAGCGUAUUUAGUCUGUCCAUGACUGAACCUAAGUCGGUGGUAAUGGUUGUGAGAGCAGGAAGUGUGAGGAUUUCUUCUAGUGACCCAUGCAUCUCCCCUUGGUUCAUGGUGCGGUUCACUAGGCCCGUGCCCUGAUGCAGGUGUAGAAGCCCGGUGCCAUGCUCAGAGAUUUCGUCCUGGGAUUCGUCAAGCUCAAUUAGAGCUGGACCACUUUCUUGAUACAUAUCUCCCCUUUUCCGUAAUAAACAGUGCUUAAUAUUCAAUGCAAA
Molecule: long non-coding RNA, 790 nt
Organism: Alosa alosa (allis shad)
Lineage: Eukaryota; Metazoa; Chordata; Actinopteri; Clupeiformes; Clupeidae
Exons: 3
Source: RefSeq, a predicted model, not a curated record